AUGUCGGUAAGGGACAGGGUGUGUUCGCUAGCUAGGCCAUGCCAACAACUAAGAGACAGCCAUGUUGGUAAGGAACAGGGUGUCUUAGCUAGGUCAUACCAACCUCUAAGAGACAGCCAUGUUGGUAAGGGACAGGGUGUGUUAGCUAGGUCAUACCAACCUCUGACAGACAGCCAUGUUGGUAAGGGACAGGGUGUCUUAGCUAGGUCAUACCAACCUCUAAGAGACAGCCAUGUUGGUAAGGGACAGGGUGUGUUAGCUAGGUCAUACCAACCUCUGACAGACAGCCAUGUUGGUAAGGGACAGGGUGUGUUAGCUAGGUCAUACCAACCUCUGACAGACAGCCAUGUUGGUAAGGGACAGGGUGUCUUAGCUAGGUCAUACCAACCUCUAAGAGACAGCCAUGUUGGUAAGGGACAGGGUGUGUUAGCUAGGUCAUACCAACCUCUGACAGACAGCCAUGUUGGUAAGGGACAGGGUGUCUUAGCUAGGUCAUACCAACCUCUAAGAGACAGCCAUGUUGGUAAGGGACAGGGUGUGUUAGCUAGGUCAUACCAACCUCUGACAGACAGCCAUGUUGGUAAGGGACAGGGUGUCUUAGCUAGGUCAUACCAACCUCUAAGAGACAGCCAUGUUGGUAAGGGACAGGGUGUGUUAGCUAGGUCAUACCAACCUCUGACAGACAGCCAUGUUGGUAAGGGACAGGGUGUCUUAGCUAGGUCAUACCAACCUCUAAGAGACAGCCAUGUUGGUAAGGGACAGGGUGUGUUAGCUAGGUCAUACCAACCUCUGACAGACAGCCAUGUUGGUAAGGGACAGGGUGUCUUAGCUAGGUCAUACCAACCUCUAAGAGACAGCCAUGUUGGUAAGGGACAGGGUGUGUUAGCUAGGUCAUACCAACCUCUGAGAGACAGCCAUGUUGGUAAGGGACAGGGUGUGUUAGCUAGGUCAUACCAACCUCUGACAGACAGCCAUGUUGGUAAGGGACAGGGUGUCUUAGCUAGGUCAUACCAACCUCUAAGAGACAGCCAUGUUGGUAAGGGACAGGGUGUGUUAGCUAGGUCAUACCAACCUCUGACAGACAGCCAUGUUGGUAAGGGACAGGGUGUCUUAGCUAGGUCAUACCAACCUCUAAGAGACAGCCAUGUUGGUAAGGGACAGGGUGUGUUAGCUAGGUCAUACCAACCUCUGACAGACAGCCAUGUUGGUAAGGGACAGGGUGUGUUAGCUAGGUCAUACCAACCUCUGACAGACAGCCAUGUUGGUAAGGGACAGGGUGUCUUAGCUAGGUCAUACCAACCUCUAAGAGACAGCCAUGUUGGUAAGGGACAGGGUGUGUUAGCUAGGUCAUACCAACCUCUGACAGACAGCCAUGUUGGUAAGGGACAGGGUGUCUUAGCUAGGUCAUACCAACCUCUAAGAGACAGCCAUGUUGGUAAGGGACAGGGUGUGUUAGCUAGGUCAUACCAACCUCUGAGAGACAGCCAUGUUGGUAAGGGACAGGGUGUGUUAGCUAGGUCAUACCAACCUCUGACAGACAGCCAUGUUGGUAAGGGACAGGGUGUGUUAGCUUGGUCAAACCAACAAAUGAGAGACAGCCGUGUUGGUGAGCGACAGGGUGUGUUAACCAACUAG
Oncorhynchus kisutch (coho salmon) is the source of this 1635-nucleotide long non-coding RNA. NCBI's taxonomy places the organism in Eukaryota, Metazoa, Chordata, Actinopteri, Salmoniformes, Salmonidae. The record is from Ensembl.